GGCAAUAACCAAAUCCGCGUCGUGAGUUGUGGCAAAUGCAAGUCACACGUGCAGAGAGAGCCUUCCCUGCAGCGUUUGGUCCAGAGAAAAGGGUCAGUCGGUAGCACCUGCGAGUAUCCACGCCUGCAGUUCCAACGAUGCCUUUACGCGCCGCGAUCACACGACGUCCCGGCCGUUAACGGGCUCUGCGCUGACGAUGCUGCAGGGAACUUCCCCGUCAGGCCACCCUUCCGGACACUUGCGUUUCUCUGUAAGCUCCCCACACCCAGACGCAACUCGGACAUCACGUGGGUAGCCGCGAGAUCCAAAUCAGGGGCUGAGUUUUAUUACACUUGGCAAUUCCAUCUCAUCAGUUACACAACGUCACUUGCUGUCAUUUGCUGUGCCGAGUGUUGUGUCCAAGUCUGGCUUUGGGACCUCCAGGAAGAGAACUCAAUCAGCAUCGUGUACACUCUAAAAGUCACGGACGACCAUUUGCAGUUGUUAAAAAUCAGCAC
This 497-nucleotide long non-coding RNA is filed under the name Felis catus (domestic cat). Its description in RNAcentral is "lncRNA (ENSFCAG00000051517.1)". Lineage: Eukaryota; Metazoa; Chordata; Mammalia; Carnivora; Felidae. The record is from RNAcentral.